UACGGAGGGUGCAAGCGUUGUCCGGAUUUAUUGGGUUUAAAGGGUGCGUAGGUGGCCGUAUAAGUCCGGGGUGAAAGCCCACAGCUCAACUGUGGAACUGCCCUGGAUACUGUAGGGCUUGAGAGUCGUCGAGGGUGGCGGAAUGGACGGUGUAGCGGUGAAAUGCAUAGAUACCGUCCAGAACCCCAAUUGCGUAGGCAGCUACCUAGGCGACAUCUGACACUGAGGCACGAAAGCGUGGGGAGCGAACAGG
This 253-nucleotide ribosomal RNA is filed under the name uncultured bacterium. RNAcentral describes it as "partial 16S ribosomal RNA". It matches the Rfam family "Bacterial small subunit ribosomal RNA", at positions 524 to 776 of the family's 1533-position model. The record is from RNAcentral.